CUACGGGUUGCAGCAGUGAGGAAUAUUGCACAAUGGGGGGAACCCUGAUGCAGCAACGCCGCGUGGAGGAUGACGCAUUUCGGUGUGUAAACUCCUUUUAUAUGUCAAGAAAAUGACGGUAGCAUAUGAAUAAGCACCGGCUAACUCCGUGCCAGCGGCCGCGGUAAUACGGAGGGUGCAAGCGUUACUCGGAAGCACUGGGCGUAAAGGACGCGUAGGCGGGUUGGAAAGUCAGGUGUGAAAUCCUACAGCUUAACUGUAGAACUGCACUUGAAACUUCUAAUCUAGAGUAUGGGAGGGGGAGAUGGAAUUAGUGGUGUAGGGGUAAAAUCCGUAGAUAUCACUAGGAAUACCUAAAGCGAAGGCGAUCUCCUGGAACAUUACUGACGCUAAGGCGUGAAAGCGUGGGGAGCAAACAGGAUUAGAUACCCUAGUAGUC
This 439-nucleotide ribosomal RNA is filed under the name uncultured bacterium. RNAcentral describes it as "partial 16S ribosomal RNA". It matches the Rfam family "Bacterial small subunit ribosomal RNA", at positions 339 to 795 of the family's 1533-position model. The record is from RNAcentral.